UGGAGGCAGCAGUGGGGAAUAUUGCACAAUGGGCGAAAGCCUGAUGCAGCAACGCCGCGUGAGGGACGAAGGCCUUCGGGUCGUAAACCUCUUUUCUGAGGGACGAGACAAGGACGGUACCUCAGGAAUAAGUCUCGGCUAACUACGUGCCAGCAGCCGCGGUAAAACGUAGGAGGCGAGCGUUAUCCGGAUUUACUGGGCGUAAAGCGUACGCAGGCGGCUUCGUUAGUCGGAUGUUAAAGCUCCUGGCUUAACUGGGAGAGGCCAUUCGAUACUGCGGGGCUUGAGGUUGGGAGAGGGGUAUGGAAUUCCCGGUGUAGUGGUGGAAUGCGUAGAUAUCGGGAGGAACACCAGUGGCGAAGGCGGUACCCUGGCCCACACCUGACGCUGAUGUACGAAAGCGUGGGUAGCAAACAGGAUUAGAUACCCUGGUAGU
RNAcentral lists this ribosomal RNA (436 nucleotides) under uncultured bacterium. RNAcentral describes it as "bacterial SSU rRNA". It matches the Rfam family "Bacterial small subunit ribosomal RNA", at positions 343 to 794 of the family's 1533-position model. The record is from RNAcentral.